This 28-nucleotide small RNA is filed under the name Bombyx mori (domestic silkworm). RNAcentral's name for it is "ovarian small RNA-22803". Lineage: Eukaryota; Metazoa; Arthropoda; Insecta; Lepidoptera; Bombycidae. The record is from RNAcentral.
UAGGUGUUAUAAUUUCGGUGAGGAACUG